RNAcentral lists this ribosomal RNA (656 nucleotides) under uncultured Actinomycetes bacterium. RNAcentral describes it as "SSU rRNA". It matches the Rfam family "Bacterial small subunit ribosomal RNA", at positions 245 to 915 of the family's 1533-position model. Lineage: Bacteria; Bacillati; Actinomycetota; Actinomycetes. The record is from RNAcentral.
CUUGUUGGUGAGGUAAUGGCUCACCAAGGCAACGACGGGUAGCUGGUCUGAGAGGAUGUCCAGCCACACUGGGACUGAGACACGGCCCAGACUCCUACGGGAGGCAGCAGUUAGGAAUCUUGCGCAAUGGGCGAAAGCCUGACGCAGCGACGCCGCGUGCGGGAUGAAUGCCUUCGGGUUGUAAACCGCUUUCAGCAGGGACGAAAUUGACGGUACCUGCAGAAGAAGCCCCGGCCAACUACGUGCCAGCAGCCGCGGUAAUACGUAGGGGGCGAGCGUUGUCCGGAUUUAUUGGGCGUAAAGAGCUCGUAGGUGGUUUGGUAAGUCGGAUGUGAAAUCUCCAGGCUCAACCUGGAGGGGUCAUUCGAGACUGCCAUGACUAGAGUUCGGUAGAGGAGUACGGAAUUCCUGGUGGAGCGGUGAAAUGCGCAGAUAUCAGGAGGAACACCCGUAGCGAAGGCGGUACUCUGGGCCGAUACUGACACUGAGGAGCGAAAGCGUGGGGAGCGAACAGGAUUAGAUACCCUGGUAGUCCACGCCGUAAACGUUGGGCACUAGGUGUGGGGUUCUAUCGACGGAUUCCGUGCCGUAGCUAACGCAUUAAGUGCCCCGCCUGGGGAGUACGGCCGCAAGGCUAAAACUCAAAGGAAUUGACG